RNAcentral lists this long non-coding RNA (204 nucleotides) under Elaeis guineensis (African oil palm). RNAcentral's name for it is "long non-coding RNA (EGUI_LNC050673)". The record is from RNAcentral. Lineage: Eukaryota; Viridiplantae; Streptophyta; Magnoliopsida; Arecales; Arecaceae.
GAUUAUCCUGAUCAAAAUUUUACUAAAUUGAAAUACACUGAUGCAUUAACUCCUACUUAUUUGGAGAGAUCAAUUCCAUCUGGACUCACACACCGACUUGAUAAGUACUUGACUGCAUCCAAAAAUUUUUCAUCACUGAAUUAAAAAUUUAAAUAGUCUGACAUCAAAGUACAGUGAGUUACUUACAAGUCAUCAUGGUGAUCU